This 1270-nucleotide ribosomal RNA is filed under the name Chengkuizengella marina. RNAcentral describes it as "Chengkuizengella sp. YPA3-1-1 partial 23S ribosomal RNA". It matches the Rfam family "Bacterial large subunit ribosomal RNA", at positions 1 to 1263 of the family's 2925-position model. The record is from RNAcentral. Lineage: Bacteria; Bacillati; Bacillota; Bacilli; Caryophanales; Paenibacillaceae.
AUGGUUAAGCUAUUAAGAGCACACGGAGGAUGCCUAGGCGCUAGGAGCCGAAGAAGGACGUGGCGAACAACGAAAUGCCUCGGGGAGUCGUAAGCAGACCUCGAUCCGGGGAUGUCCGAAUGGGGGAACCCACGUACUGUAAUAGGUACGUACCCUAGACUGAAUACAUAGGUCUAGUGGAGGCAGACCAGGGGAACUGAAACAUCUAAGUACCCUGAGGAAGAGAAAACAAAAGUGAUUCCGUCAGUAGCGGCGAGCGAACGCGGAUUAGCCCAAACCAACAGGCUUGCCUGUUGGGGUUGUGGGACACUCCACAUGGAGUUACAAAAGAAUGGUUUAGGCGAAGGGUCUGGAAAGGCCAACCAAAGAAGGUAAAAGUCCUGUAGCUAAAAAAUCAUUCUCUCCGGAGUGGAUCCCGAGUAGUGCGGGGCACGUGAAACCCCGUAUGAAUCUGGCAGGACCAUCUGCCAAGGCUAAAUACUCCCUAGCGACCGAUAGUGAAGCAGUACCGUGAGGGAAAGGUGAAAAGGACCCCGGGAGGGGAGUGAAAUAGAACCUGAAACCGUGUGCUUACAAGAAGUCAGAGCCCGUUUAAUGGGUGAUGGCGUGCCUUUUGUAGAAUGAACCGGCGAGUUACGUUAGCAUGCAAGGUUAAAGUGAAGAGCUGGAGCCGCAGCGAAAGCGAGUCUGAAUAGGGCGAUUGUAGUAUGUUGACGUAGACCCGAAACCGUGUGAUCUACCCCUGUCCAGGGUGAAGGUGAGGUAACACUCACUGGAGGCCCGAACCCACUUAUGUUGAAAAAUGAGGGGAUGAGGUGGGGGUAGCGGAGAAAUUCCAAUCGAACUCGGAAAUAGCUGGUUCUCCCCGAAAUAGCUUUAGGGCUAGCCUUGGGGGUGAGUCGUGGAGGUAGAGCACUGAUUGGGUGCGGGGCCCGUCAAGGGUUACCAAGCUCAGUCAAACUCCGAAUGCCAUAGACUUUAAACCCCAGGAGUCAGACGGUGAGUGCUAAGAUCCAUCGUCAAAAGGGAAACAGCCCAGACCAUCAGCUAAGGUCCCCAAGUGUGUGUUAAGUGGGAAAGGAUGUGGAGUUGCACAGACAACCAGGAUGUUGGCUUAGAAGCAGCCACCAUUGAAAGAGUGCGUAAUAGCUCACUGGUCGAGUGACUCUGCGCCGAAAAUGUAACGGGGCUAAACACACCACCGAAGCUAUGGCUUGAUACUUAGGUAUCAGGGGUAGGGGAGCGUUGUGUACGGAUAGAAGGUAUACCG